This 1398-nucleotide long non-coding RNA is filed under the name Cyanistes caeruleus (blue tit). RNAcentral describes it as "lncRNA (ENSCCEG00000004652.1)". The record is from RNAcentral. Lineage: Eukaryota; Metazoa; Chordata; Aves; Passeriformes; Paridae.
GAAGGCGGGAACGCGCCCCGCGCGGGGCCUGACGGGAAGCGGUUGCUAAGCAACGCCCCCUUGAGGCCUACUCGUAGCGCGGCGGGAGAGAAUCGGUUUCUAAUUUAUAAUUUAUAGGCGCGAUUUAUUUGAAGAAAUAUUACAACAUAUAAAAACUACAUAAAGUAUCGAGUUCCACCUUGUACAAAGCGGCCGCGGGGGGUUGGGUACAAUGCGAUAAAAACGGGGAGCGGGGCCGGGCCCUGAGGGGGGGUUGGGUCAGCACAGAGAGCGCUGAGGGAAAGGAAUUUAAAAAUAAAAUUAAAAAAAUAAACGAAAGACAAAGAGGUAAAGUGGUUUUUAAAAGAAAAAAACGGAAGAAGAAGAAAAGGCAGGAAAAAAAAAAUCCAGGGGGAAAAAGAAGGGAAAAAGAACUUUGAACAUAAAGGAAAAUAAGGGUUAAGAAAGAGAAAGAAAAAAUAGGAAAAAGGAGGAAAAAAAGGAGAAAGAAAGAAGGGAUGUAAAGAAGGGAGAAAAAUAGAAAAGGGGGGAAAAGAGAAAAAAAAAAUAGAGGAAAAAAAUAUAGAGGAAAAACAAAAUAAUAGAGAAAAAAACAGAAAAAAAUUGAGGAAAAACCAGAAAAAAUUGAGGAAAAAACUCCAAAAAAAUUAAAAAAAAAGGGGAAAUAAAAGCGAAACCAAACCAAAGUGAAGCAAAAAGGCCAAAAAUCAUCCCCAAAUCAGCCAGGCCGCCCCCCCAGGGCUCCGUGUCCGGCGGCCGGGGACUCAGGCGGCCGCUUCCAUCGGCUCCGGACGCGCCACGCGGGGACCUGGGGACACCACGGGGACACCGUGGGGACAGGCGAGGUCACUCAGGGGUCACUCAGGGGUCACUCAGGGGUCAGGGGGUCACUCAGGGGUCACUCAGGGGUCACUCAGGGUCACUCGGGGGUCACUCAGGGGUCACUCAGGGGUCACUCGGCCACCUGGACGCCGCCGCAGUUCUCUUUGCUCUCCGAGGUGAUGGCCAGGUACUCGGAGCUGGUGGGGGGGAGGGGAGAAAUUCGGGGUGGGGGAGGGGAUCCCGAAUUCGGGAACCCCCAAAAAACCCAAAAUCCCCAAAAAAAAUCACCCAAAAAAACCCCAAACCCCCCAAAAUUCCACCCAAAAAUGUCCCAAAAUUCCACCCUAAAAAACCCCAAAUUCCACCUGAAAAUUCCCCAAAAUUCCACCCGAAAAUUCCACCCUUAAAAACCCAAAAAUUCGAACCCAAAAUGCCCCAAAAUCCCCCAAAAUUCCACCCCAAAAUGCCCCCAAAUCCCCCAAAAUUCCACCCAAAUUCCCCAAAAUUCCACCCAAAAAUGUCCCAAAAUUCCACCCUAAAAAAUCCCAAAUUCCACCCAAAAUUCCCCAAAAUUCC